UGUCCAGCAACUCCUAUCCCUACCUCCUCGCGGUACCGGCCGGAAACUAUGAGCAACCUUAGGGAAGAUCGGGUAACCAACCCCAAUGGGACCUUGGGCGUAGGCUGACAGGGAAGG
Molecule: non-coding RNA, 117 nt
Organism: Aedes albopictus (Asian tiger mosquito)
Lineage: Eukaryota; Metazoa; Arthropoda; Insecta; Diptera; Culicidae
Source: Rfam